RNAcentral lists this ribosomal RNA (321 nucleotides) under Triticum aestivum (bread wheat). RNAcentral's name for it is "partial small subunit ribosomal RNA". The record is from RNAcentral. Lineage: Eukaryota; Viridiplantae; Streptophyta; Magnoliopsida; Poales; Poaceae.
AUGGUGGCAGCCGAAGUUGAGGUGGUCUUGCUUGAGGUAGUAGUAGUGGUGGCUGACGACGACCCCAUCGAAGGAGUUGUUGAUGUAGUGGGCGUUGUCAGCACCGUCGUGGUCGAAGUCGAGGUUGUACUCGUGGUAGAUGGAGCCUUUCACGAAGACAACAGUAACAAUGUUGACGCCCCUCCCUCCUUGAAAAUGUUCUUGAACAAAGCAUCUAAGGAGCGGCAUACCACUCGUGGCCCAUGCAACCUGGCUGACAGGGCCGGUCCUAAGAUUUCAGGGGCCCGGGGUGGAGCUAGAAAAUGGGGCCUCUUAACAUAA